RNAcentral lists this ribosomal RNA (497 nucleotides) under uncultured bacterium. Its description in RNAcentral is "partial 16S ribosomal RNA". It matches the Rfam family "Bacterial small subunit ribosomal RNA", at positions 28 to 507 of the family's 1533-position model. The record is from RNAcentral.
GACGAACGCUGGCGGCGUGCCUAAUACAUGCAAGUUGAGCGAUGAAGAUUGGUGCUUGCACCAAUUUGAAGAGCAGCGAACGGGUGAGUAACGCGUGGGGAAUCUGCCUUUGAGCGGGGGACAACAUUUGGAAACGAAUGCUAAUACCGCAUAACAACUUUAAACAUAAGUUUUAAGUUUGAAAGAUGCAAUUGCAUCACUCAAAGAUGAUCCCGCGUUGUAUUAGCUAGUUGGUGAGGUAAAGGCUCACCAAGGCGAUGAUACAUAGCCGACCUGAGAGGGUGAUCGGCCACAUUGGGACUGAGACACGGCCCAAACUCCUACGGGAGGCAGCAGUAGGGAAUCUUUGGCAAUGGACGAAAGUCUGACCGAGCAACGCCGCGUGAGUGAAGAAGGUUUUCGGAUCGUAAAACUCUGUUGGUAGAGAAGAACGUUGGUGAGAGUGGAAAGCUCAUCAAGUGACGGUAACUACACAGAAAGGGACGGCUAACUACGUG